AAAAAGUGCUCUAAUUUGGUUAUUUCUGGUUUCUUCUCCAGGACUAAGUUAAAGGUACUUAUUUUAUCAGCAUAUUUCAUAAUUGAGGCUGUGUCUACAUCUCAAUGCAUCACUUCAGAAAGCUUGUGACAUCAUUCUGAUCACUCAAAGAGGUCUCCACUAGAUUUCUCCACUAAAAAGAUUCAUUUUCCUUCCAUGUAAUUAAUACAUAAUUGAUACAGAGAUUGACACCAUGUUGAUAUCAUGUUUCCCAGUAAAGAUUCACCCAAAUUCUUGCCUGAACACUUCCCACCACCUGAUGGAGUGGAGGAUUCUAAGUUCCAAGAGGGCAGAAGCAGAUUUUCUUUCAUUUACUGUUGUGGCCUCACACGUAGCUACGACUGUGCCUGCUGCACACCAGGAUGCAAUAAACGUUGGCCAAGUGCCUGAAUGGAGUGUUUGUCUCUUUCAUAUCUUAACAUGGACCUAGCCUUCCUCACCAUAUUCUUUUAAAAACUGUUUAUUUGCUUCUUUGGUCUGCUUACUUUUCCAGAAAAAAAAAUAGAAUAUAAUUUUAAGUUAUCUAACAAACAAGCAAGCAAAAAUAUCUCUAUUUAUUUGUUGAAAUCAUCUGUCUUAGUCCACUUUGUGCUACUAUAACAGAAUACUUAAGAUUGAGUAAGUUAGAAAGAAAACAAAUUUACUUCUCAGGAUUCUGGUGGCUGGAAGUCCAAGAUCAUGGCAUUGGCCUCCGGGGAGGACUUACUGCUGUGUCCUCACAUGGCAGAGGCAGAAGUGCAAGAGAGCAAGCCAAACUAAUGCUGCGUGAAGCUUCUUUUCUAAAGGCCUUAAUCCCUUUCCUGGGGAAGGAGCGCUCAUGGCCUAAUCAUCUCUUAUAGACCCCACCUCUUAAUACUAUCAUAUUGUAAACACCUAAAUUUUGAAGGGGAUACAUUCAAAUUAUAGUAUUGUCUAAACUUAAAAAAUAACUUGGGGAAAAUUGACAUUUUAAACAAUAUCUGCCUUACCAUUGAGAAAUAUGGAAUGUUUAUUCUUUCCUUCCUCUCGAUAGUUCUUCUACAGCUCUCAAUGCAGCUUUUAAAUUCUAUCAUAUAUGUUUGUUUUUGAGAUUAUUUUGAGGUAUUUUAUGGAAUCUUUCAUGUUAUUAGAGUGAAUAGUAUUCUUUUUC
This 1168-nucleotide long non-coding RNA is filed under the name Papio anubis (olive baboon). RNAcentral describes it as "lncRNA (ENSPANG00000044536.1)". The record is from RNAcentral. Lineage: Eukaryota; Metazoa; Chordata; Mammalia; Primates; Cercopithecidae.